GAUGAACGCUGGCGGUAUGCUUAACACAUGCAAGUCGAACGGACUCUUCGGAGUUAGUGGCGGACGGGUGAGUAACGCGUGAGAAUCUGGCUUUGGGUUCGGGACAACCACUGGAAACGGUGGCUAAUACCGGAUGUGCCGAGAGGUAAAAGAGAAAUUGCCUGAAGAUGAGCUCGCGUCUGAUUAGCUAGUUGGUGAGGUAAAGGCUCACCAAGGCAGCGAUCAGUAGCUGGUCUGAGAGGAUGACCAGCCACACUGGGACUGAGACACGGCCCAGACUCCUACGGGAGGCAGCAGUGGGGAAUUUUCCGCAAUGGGCGAAAGCCUGACGGAGCAAUACCGCGUGAGGGAAGAAGGCUCUUGGGGUGUAAGCCUCUUUUCUUAGGGAAGAACAAAAUGACGGUACCUAAGGAAUCAGCAUCGGCUAACUCCGUG
RNAcentral lists this ribosomal RNA (435 nucleotides) under uncultured bacterium. RNAcentral's name for it is "partial 16S ribosomal RNA". It matches the Rfam family "Bacterial small subunit ribosomal RNA", at positions 28 to 507 of the family's 1533-position model. The record is from RNAcentral.